AGAGUUUGAUCCUGGCUCAGGAUGAACGCUGGCGGCGUGCUUAACACAUGCAAGUCGAACGGAGUUAUGAGAAGAGAGUGAGGUGCUUGCACCAAGUGAUCAUUUUGUAACUUAGUGGCGGACGGGUGAGUAACGCGUGGGUAACCUGCCAUAUACAGGGGGAUAACACUUAGAAAUAGGUGCUAAAACCGCAUAAGCGCACAGCUUCGCAUGAAGCAGUGUGAAAAACUCCGGUGGUAUAUGAUGGACCCGCGUCUGAUUAGCCAGUUGGCAGGGUAACGGCCUACCAAAGCGACGAUCAGUAGCCGGCCUGAGAGGGUGAACGGCCACAUUGGGACUGAGACACGGCCCAAACUCCUACGGGAGGCAGCAGUGGGGAAUAUUGCACAAUGGGGGAAACCCUGAUGCAGCGACGCCGCGUGAGUGAAGAAGUAUUUCGGUAUGUAAAGCUCUAUCAACAGGGAAGAAAAUGACGGUACCUGAGUAAGCAGCCCCGGCUAACUACGUGCCAGCAGCCGCGGUAAUACGUAGGGGGCAAGCGUUAUCCGGAAUUACUGGGUGUAAAGGGUGCGUAGGCGGCAAUGCAAGUCAGUCGUGAAAGGUAUGGGCUUAACCCGUAAACUGCGAUUGAAACUGCAUAGCUGGAGUGCAGGAGAGGAAAGCGGAAUUCCUAGUGUAGCGGUGAAAUGCGUAGAUAUUAGGAAGAACACCAGUGGCGAAGGCGGCUUUCUGGACUGCAACUGACGCUGAGGCACGAAAGCGUGGGGAGCAAACAGGAUUAGAUACCCUGGUAGUCCACACGGUAAACGA
This 810-nucleotide ribosomal RNA is filed under the name uncultured bacterium. RNAcentral describes it as "bacterial SSU rRNA". It matches the Rfam family "Bacterial small subunit ribosomal RNA", at positions 8 to 809 of the family's 1533-position model. The record is from RNAcentral.